GACGAACGCUGGCGGCGUGCUUAACACAUGCAAGUCGAACGGGCCCGCCCUCUUUUUUGGGGGUGGGUUGAGUGGCGAACGGGUGAGUAUCACAUGAGUAACCUGCCCCCUGCUCCUGGAUAACUGCUUGAAAGGGCGGCUAAUACGGGGUGUGCCGGCUGGUCCGCAUGGGCCUGGUCGGGAUAGUUUCAUCUUCGGGUGUUUCGGUGGGGGAUGGGCUCGCGGCCUAUCAGCUUGUUGGUGGGGUGAUGGCCCACCAAGGCGGUGACGGGUAGCCGGCCUGAGAGGGUGGGCGGCCACACUGGGACUGAGACACGGCCCAGACUCCUGCGGGAGGCAGCAGUGGGGGGUAUUGCACAAUGGGCGGAAGCCUGAUGCAGCGACGUCGCGUGAGGGAUGGAGGCCUUCGGGUUGUGAACCUCUUUCUCCGGUGGUGAAGGCCCUGUCCGUUGCGGCGGGGUUGACGGUAGCCGGGUAUGAAGCGCCGGCUAACUACGUGCCAGCAGCCGCGGUAAUACGUAGGGCGCGAGCGUUGUCCGGAAUUAUUGGGCGUGAAGGGCUUGUAGGCGGCCGGUCGCGUCCGCCGUGAAAUUCUCCGGCUCAACCGGGGGCUUGCGGUGGGUACGGGCCGGCUGGAGUGCGGUAGGGGAGGCUGGAACUCCUGGUGUAGCGGUGGAAUGCGCAGAUAUCAGGAAGAACACCGGUGGCGAAGGCGGGUCUCUGGGCCGUUACUGACGCUGAGGAGCGAAAGCGUGGGGAGCGAACAGG
This 768-nucleotide ribosomal RNA is filed under the name uncultured Actinomyces sp. RNAcentral's name for it is "bacterial SSU rRNA". It matches the Rfam family "Bacterial small subunit ribosomal RNA", at positions 28 to 776 of the family's 1533-position model. Lineage: Bacteria; Bacillati; Actinomycetota; Actinomycetes; Actinomycetales; Actinomycetaceae. The record is from RNAcentral.